Long non-coding RNA from Cephus cinctus (wheat stem sawfly), 2493 nucleotides. RefSeq lists it as uncharacterized. NCBI's taxonomy places the organism in Eukaryota, Metazoa, Arthropoda, Insecta, Hymenoptera, Cephidae. The transcript is spliced from 2 exons. The record is from RefSeq and is a predicted model, not a curated record.
AGAAAAUCUUGAGGCUCGAAUCGUUGCGUUGUGGCAUUGGAAAUUUUCUUUUAUUUCUACAUAGUACCAACCUACCCACACACCGUGUGCCCUCGACUGCUCCGGAGUCUAUCAGAUUGCACACUAGCGAUCUGAGAACUUUUCUUAAUUAUACUGAAUCCAAUUAACGGAAGCCUGCAAGGAAUAGGCCGACUUUUCGCCUGUCAUUAACUGGGUACAACACACUUCGGUAACGAGUCGAUACAUACGAACAAUGUAACUGGAGGCUGCUGACGUGUAUACUGUAUAUGUAUAUACCUGGAGAUCUGAUUAGGCACGCGAGAGAUAGCGAUCCAGAGAUCACGACGUUCCCGAUCGAUCUUGGGAUCUCGUUCGAUUUAGCAAUGGCGGAGAGCAUUUAAUAUAAGAGGAAGCCGAGUCCCUCGGAUGUUCGGUUUGAAGAAGUCGUUAUUGGGAGUUUUCACUGGGGACGAGUGGGUAGCGACGUUUGCCCGACGCUGGUAACCCCGAAGUACGGUGGAUCGGUCGAAGUCCAGAAGCGACGCCUGGUAUCCCAAAUAUUCAGCGAUCCGAGCCAAAAAUUCUUCUCGCGUUGAAAAUUCGAAGAAUUCUUGGCCGCGGAUCCUUCGCGUGCUGCGCGCAUCUAUCUGCUACACAGUACACGGGUAUACAUGUCACGUAGUACCGUCUGGUAACUAAACGCUUGAGACCUGGGAUUUUCCUAUUCUAUAUAUCCGACGCAGCACCGCGUGCUCGGUACUCGCGGACAUUUUCUAGGAAAGCGGAUAAGUGACACGAGACGGUCGACGGAGACCGUCUGUCCUUUACUUUGACUAUUAUUUGCGCGAACAGACUUCACAAAGAAAUCCUAUACACAGUUUAAAUAAUACGUCACGAGACAGCAACCGCCACUGAACACGGUACCUACCGUAAAGCAUCCGUAAACCGCCGAGCAUGUAAAUAAUCAAAAGAGACAAAUUCGUGGCGCUCCGUUCGACCAAUCAUAUCUAAUUAAUGCCAUUAAUUAAGUUACACCGACUAACGUACAUGCAGUCGCUAAAUUAUUGAUAUAUUCCAUGGAAUCGAGCGAGACGAGUGUCGGCUCUGGUCGCGAUGAUUAAUCGAUUUCCGGUAUCGAUUAUACCUAUAUGAAAUGUAUAUUUUCUUCGGUCGAACGAUGUUGAAAGAAAAAAAAAGUAAUUGUUCCUCCAAAAGAAAACACGAGCAUAGACAAUAUCUGAUCCGUACUUCAUACGCAAGGAAAUCCCGUCUCUGCGUAUCCUAGAAAAUAUUGGCAUAGCCAACUAUGCACUGGCUGGAUCGAGCCAGCGGAGAGGAGAGCCAUUUGCAUUGGAAUGCAAAUCCCCUCGCCGCGUUCGAAUGCUCGUACCACGUUCUACGAGUACGCGUAUUUAUACACGCGUGAAACCCCGAGCUGUUCGGCCGGUGCCGUGAGGGACGGGGAACCGGACUGCUGGUCAGGUACGGGAGAUAGAGUCUACGUGUACGUGAAUGUAUUUAAGAAUAACUCGGUGGAAAAGUUUCCUAUUGAGAAUUGGCGACUCCCUCGACGAGGAUCGACGAUCCUUAUGGAAAGGUAUCGUCGUCCGUUUGUUUUACUUUCUGUUUCCAUUUUGUUAUCGUGCUUCUCCUUUUUAUUUUCCUUUUCUUCUCUCGACCCGACCGUACCCUUAAGAACGUAGAAGAUACGAUACUUAGCCGACGGCGGUUAUAGUCUUUAGCCUCGAGGGAUUCGACCCGGACUGACUCGGCACCUUUUUACAGCACACUCCUUAUUAUCGGUUUCACUUUCGUAACACGACGUAGCGCCACUGUCGCUUUUUCAUUUCCCACCAAAUUUUCGCACGCUAACGAGAUACCCUCGUUCGGACGCAGUCCCUCGUCGUUCGUAUCUACGCACGAUUCGGGGUAUACGUGAACGUGAAAAAUAAUGCAAAGGAGCCAGGACGCAGACCGAGCGAAAGUUCGUUUGGGGAGUAUCCGGGCGUUUCGCGUAAGCGAGAGUCCGAUGUGUUUGGUCUGAUUAGAGGUAUGCGUGAGUCGGAAUUUUUUCGUCUUUUCUUUGACUCGGCACUCUUUUUCUCUCGGCAGGAUAAAAACCUUCGUGGAAACGUGGCGCAGCUGUUGUUUUACGGGCAGAACGCGCAUUGGCGUUUCGCGACGCGUGCGAGAACGUAACGACGCAGAGUCGAGAAAAGGGACUGGCAGUGAAUGAACGGAACGAAUGAAUGAGCGAACAGAGGGAAAAGAAAGCCGAGCGAAAAGCGAGUGAGGAAUUUUAUAUGGCGCAUGGGACACAGGUAGAACAGGACCCCACCGUAUAUGUACAGCCAAAGGAACUAAUGCUGCGUACGGCCCUGAGGAAUGUUACUCUCUACCUAUUACGAUAAUGAAAGACAUUUAACGAGGUAUGAGACUAGUAGUAAAAAAAAAUAACAAUUUAAAGUUUUUCAAAAUAAUAAUAAAAAGCAA